Dermacentor albipictus is the source of this 13493-nucleotide non-coding RNA. The record is from RefSeq and is a predicted model, not a curated record. Lineage: Eukaryota; Metazoa; Arthropoda; Arachnida; Ixodida; Ixodidae.
AAGGAAAAGGCACAGCUAAGAUGAGUUUGUGAUGCAUUGUUCAUGUUGGUGCUAGUCGCCUUAGCAUUGUGCUUGAAAUGUAUUGUUGCAAACAUUGUGGCACAAAAUGUGGUAUGACAUUUUCCAGUCUUGAUGGGACUAAUGGCUUGAUCAACUGGCACAAACUGCUCCUUUUCGCUCGGGUUGUUUCUGUGGGACAAGGAAGAGUGAUAGUUGACUCCCCCAGCUCGUCGGUAUCGCACACUCGAAACGCCUGAGAACGCAUGCCAGCUAUCUCGGCCUGUGGCACUCACUGCUGCCAAAAUAUCCGCCAAGGAAAAGCAUGUUUCUGAAGAGGGGCCCACUAUCUCUUGCUUCUCCUGCUUAUGUCUUUAAGUGUGUUAUCACCCUGGUCUUGGGACGUAGUGGCUUGCAAGAACCAGCGUGUUCCAUUGCCCUUUCCACAAUGCUUCUUGCUCUAUUGGUGCUGUGCACAGAUUCGAGUCUCUUGGGUCACAGUUUGCUCAGGACUCGAGUGCGGAGGUGUAACAGUCCGUUGGUCUUGCAUGACUACGUGCUCUCUUGUCUGGGGGCAAAACUACCACGAGCAUUUGCCGUCUCUCAGACGCGCACCCGGGCCAACACUGGGUGAAGGCCCUUUGUGGAGGCCUUUGAAGCUGGGCACUGUAGCCUGGGACAUACAAAGCGAGCACUUGAAACGAACCUUUGAUCUCGACCAGAGCCGUUUCAGCAAACGAAAGGGAUGAAGUCUUGUGCACACCUUGUCUCUCUACUCCUAGUCUUGGCAGAUGGCAAACUUCUCGCCAAUGCCAAAGAAUGCAACCAAAGUGAAAACAUGCUGGUACCAGGGCACUGGUACCAGUACGAGUUUCACAUCAAAGCGGAAGCAGCAUCUGUGGGCAGCACCGACGAUGUCAGCGAAAUGAACUUGGCAUGCCAGAUCAAGCUCUCCCACAUUGGCACCUGCAAGUAUGUGUUCGAGGUUCAGGAAUGUGCGUUCUCAUCUGGAGGUGGCCCUGCUGGUGACAAGGAGCUGUGGACAGAGCGCGAUGACCUCACGGAGAUGACGAAGUUCCCUGUUGUAAUGUCGCUCUCUGACGGUGUGGUGACUGGACUGGAAGUUUCGCCCUCUGAGUCGGAACACAUACUCAACAUCAAGCGUGCCCUGAUUUCAGCCUUUGUAUUAAAGAAGUCGCAUAUGAGAGAAGGAGCCGCGACAUCGCGUGUGGACAUUCACGGAACCUGUCCUUGGAAGAUGUGGCCUGGCACUGAGCCAGGGAUGGCACACAGCUCCAAAGACAUGCUUUACUGUGCCUACCCCGAGAGGCCUGAUUGGAACCUGAGUCCUUGGGCCAUCAUGUGGAACUUGCAUUUCAUUCAGUACCUGAUAAAUUCCACGGUUGACUGCACCUACCGUGCUUCCACGCAUGGUGACCACUUGGAGUCUCUUAGCUGCCGUGAGAGGCAUGCCAUCAAACUGGAAUCCACACACGACACCACAACAGCCGUCCAAACCAAUGUCUUCUACAAUAUGUUGCUGAACUCUCGGGGAGCCACUGAGGCAUCAUCCAACGACCUCGGUGACCUCCUUGACUUGGUACCAGCAGGAAUCGCUUUCAAGCACCUUCCCACGCCAGACCCAACACAAGCAAGACUUCAUGAAAGUGAGAAGGCGAGACUGGAAAGUGCGGCACGCAACAAGCUGGCCGAGCUCGUCUCUACGGCCGAAACAGAUGUCAGGCUGUAUACAAUUCCGCUCUUUCAUGAGUUCAUUGAACUGUUGAGGGAAAUGGACAAUCUGCUCGACUUUGUCGACUCUGUUGCCAACUGUGACCGCAGGCCAGAUGACACUGGUGUUGGUGAAAACUUGUGCACAGAGAAGUGGAAGACGCCGGCGAUGUCCUUCCUGAAAGAUGCCCUGAUACAGAGCAACACAGUGCCGACACUGCAUGCGUUCCGUCAUCUCGUGACCAAUGGCCACGUGAGCCAGGCCUACCUGCCACUUGCAUUCCACUGCUGGAGUUUUCUGCGCAACAAUGACACGCGCUACCUGGAGGAAGUCUUUGAAAUCUGCAAGUCAACUGAGCACCGGAUGUGUUGGCUUCUCUUGGGACGUAUGGUGCGAAAGUAUCACACCAACAAUGAAGACAAGAACGCAGUGCUGCCUGUGUUCGACCCCAUCUUCAAACACAUUACUGCUUUUCUCGGCAGAAACUGUGAUAUCAGCACAGCAUCUUAUCCACCCUUGUACACCAAGCCACAGAAGAUAAACCACCUUAUCAUGAUGCUGAAGGCCCUGAAGAAUGCGGGUGCCAUAGCACAGGUUGCCAGCCGUGAUUUGGAAGAAACACUGAUGGGCUGUGCUCAAAACCGAGAGUUGCCCAUUCCAGUUGCUGUGUUUGCAAUCGAGGCUAUGCACGACUUUUGGCCAACGUACGACACCUUGUCGUCAGCGAAAAGCCUGCUUGGGGACCGCACGAGGCCGUGGGAGCUGCGCAUAGCAGUGUACAAGUUCCUGACCAGGGAGCCGGACCGCUGGAAGUUUGGCAAGGCGGUCAGCAAUGCACUGGAUGGCGAGCCGCUUCACUCAGAGUUGGUGGACUACGUCGUGUCAGACUUUCUCGACUCUCUUCCUGCAGAAAUGAAGGCAGCAUUGGAGGAAGGCAAGUUUGACACCGACAGCGUCAUCCCCGGAGAAAGGUUCUACACCUCUGAGAGUCACUAUGGCAGUGACAAACUUCGCAAGUCAAACCGCCGAACACUUGAGAGACACAUCAGGUUGCAUUUCUUGCCAGCUGAGCUGAGCGACUUUGCUGUGAAGAUUGACUCUGAAGAAGUGUACGGCGGCUGGCGAAACCUUCUCUCGGACCUCUCCAGAAAUGUCAGCUUGCAGCUGUUUGGCACCAAGUUUCAUUUUGCUGACAUCACUGUUUUCCUCAAAGAGAUAGAGCAGUUUGUGCUUGGCACCGCAAAGCUCAAAGACGGCCAGUGGCGCGCUGACUGGGAGGCCUUCUUCGACCUUCUUCUGCCGAAAGGUGGCGCUACCAGACUGAAGCAGCCACUGAGGCAUUUUCCGAAGCUCCAGGAGGGAUUGAAAAAGAUCCUGGAUGCCAUGCCACCGGUCGGGCGAAUGUCACUGACACCUGUCGUUGAUUUGAGCAUGUUUGGCACAGACCUGACGUUCUCAAGCUAUGGCGAAAUCAUUACAGCCUUCAUCAGUGCAUUCAUGCCACCCGAGCCCUUGCAUGAGCUGUUGAGACAACCUCGGUCAUUCAACAUUAUGCGCACCAUUCGUCUAAUCGAGGGCUACCACCAGGUGCCAACCAUGCUGGGUUUGUCACUCAAUUGGACUACCAGUGCUACCCUGGUGACGUCAUUGAGAACUGAGGCACAUCAGGCCAGCCCUAGCAACCUUGCUUUCAAAGUGCAUCCCAGUGGAGCGCUGACGUUCCUGAAUCGCAUGGUGCUCGAUUUCCCUACGAAGACGCGAAUGGGAGUCCAGGCCAACAGCUCUGCCUACACAACUACUCAACUCAAUGCCUUGUUGAAUCUGCAGCAGCACUCCGCCCACUUUGAGGUUGAAAUUCCAAGCAAGGAGCAGAAGAUCCUUCAGCUUGUACGCACUAAUCAGAUGAUCAAGCAUGACCGCAUUGAAGAAAUGGGUGACUGGAAUGUUCAGCGUGUCAACGUUGACUGGUGCACUGGUGAUGGUCUUGGGCAUGCCACGGGCUUGCAGUUUUGUCACGACCGGUCAUAUGUCAAUGUCACUCACCUGAUGAGACCAUGGUUCCUCAUGGCUGCGCCCGCCAGCUGGCAAUUUGUGCUGAAGCCAUACAGCAAAGAUAUAACAGCGCUUGCAGUCACUGCAGUACUUCCAUCAAAACACAACAAACUCAAGAUUGAGGUCAUCACAAAAGCCACAUUGCCAAAAAAUCUGCUGAUAUAUCAGACUAAAGCUGAUGGUGGGUUUGAGCUUGUCGUUCCUGACGUGCCUUUCCUGAAGGCAGCCAUGAAGAAAAGAAAUUCUGAUAGUCAAGAUGGAAGCAGUGCAGUUGUGACGGAAUAUGUCCUUGGCUAUGCACCGGGGCAGCAUCUUGUCCUCAUCUAUGAGGACCGGUCCAAGCAAGAACAGAGGCAGAAGCCAACCAAGGAGGCCAACCGCAUCCCCAGUGGACAGAUGGUGACUGUUAGUGUGAGACAGAGAUCACUGAACGUGCAAACCAACUCCAACACCUAUGGACUUUCUUGGACUGUGAACACACAGUCAUCCGGAGUCAAGCAGGAGCUGAGAUUCAAUUUUGAAAGGGGACCAGACGGCAGCAUGGCCUGGCUGAGGGAGCUGCUAGCAGACGAGUUUUUCACUGAAGACGGUUCUGGAGGCUGGGUUCAUGUUCUCCUUCAUUGGAAGGUGCCUACCACCCUUGGAAAACAUAAGGUGGUGCAAUCCUCGCACAGUCACGUGUCAACUCCUAAGACAUCACUUGACCUGACAACUUACUUCCUCGAGUCCAGGUCACGGCACCUCCUCCAAGUGAACCUCACCAAACUAGAAAAGGCCACACGGAGGCUCCUGGCCUUUGCCAACUACACCCAGGAGCACUGGAUGCAUAUGAAAGGCGACUUGACAAAGCGCAGUGCCCUCUACAACCUCACCAUUUCUCACCACUCCUGGGCUCUCAAGUUUGAGGAAGAAUCUCGGAAGAGCUCAGCGGAAGUCAAGGGACAGCUCAUGCUACUCAUCGAGAAAAUGCAAAGGCGUCAAUCCGAUUGGGAAUUCUUUAGUACAUGGUGGCAUCCCAGCACCAGCCAUCUUUUUGAGGCCAAACAUGGGAAGACCAAACUUUUGUGGUUAACGAGACCUGUGCACAGGGGGGGCUCCAAGAAGGGUUUGCACGCAACAGCACUGGAGGCUACAUUGCAACACCAUGCUGCAGACGAAGAGCCUUUUGCACUGGAGCUUAAUGGAAAUCUGACACUGAUGCCUUCUGGCGUGGAGGUGGGCUGGCUGCUGGGUUCACCCAACAGCGACCUCAAGUGGGAGGUGUACUCAAAGUAUGCUGGGCCGGCGGCAAAAGGUGGCAGCCUUCCCUCCGAGGUCACCUAUCUCUCCGCCAUCCACCGGAGGGACAAGCCGUUCGGUGCAUACAGGCUGCAGGUGAGAAGUUCCAUGGAGCCAUGUCUGACGUGGGAACUCAGGCACAACAUCACCUCGGAGCCAUGGUUGUACACUUCGAAUGUCACCUACGCUUGCGACCCGCUGACGUAUGGAACAGAUGUGGCCAAGUCGCACAUGAACGUCACAGUUUUCUCAAAAUCGCCGAUUUGGGAACUACUGAAUAUGGACCUGAACCAGGUCUUCGAGCUUGGCACAUCUGGCUACGAAUCUAUGAAUUUGACAUCUGCCCUUGGUAAAGUGGUUGUGACUGGUCAGUGGGAUGCGCACUCUUUGGUGAAAGAGUCAAGGUUUACUGACAAGAGCUCAAACUGGAUUCCAUUGGAAACAGUUUACAAUGAAGAGAAGGACAACUGGAUCUUUGACGUGAAGUUGACGCCUCGCAAGGCAUCCACGGCAUUCAAGAUGAUGAAACUUUCCAAACGGUUUAGGCGAAGUGGUGCAGCCAUAUUUUAUGAUGCCAGAAUCAUCAGCAAGCAUCAGGACUCGGACCCACAGGCCCAGGAGCUGAAUGUAUUCCAGGCAGUAGUUGUGCCCCGCAAGUCGGAGAAGGCAGUUCGAGCUCUGGCAAACAAGGCUGUGAUUAAGGAGCUGCUCGAAGUCACGGCAGCAUACACGAACGUGGUCAUUGCCUCCCUCUACAACCCAAGGCAUCCUUUCAACCUGAUAGUCUACCAACUGACAGGAGCUACUGCAGGAGAGAUUUUGGACAGAGAGAGAGAGAAGGUACACAGCAUGCUUGCAGAAUCAUGGAAGAUGUCGUACCAAGUGCUGGGAACAUUCCAUGCCAUUUACGAUCCUGUCAUCUACAGCAGCUCUGCGUUGGUCAGGAAAGCAGCUACGGGUUUGGGUGCAACACACGAAGCCUUUAACCAAACAAUUCCUGGCUGGGCCUUCUACUACUUCAACCUCGACAGGGUUCUCAAUUACACUGCCCAUCACAUACCCGAGCUGUCAGCACAGCUGGCCACGAUCUACUUUACGCGGCCAGCCAGAAUUCCAGGAAUGGUGGAAUUCUCUGCCGACAUGCCGUCCCUUCCUUCGUAUGGUAGUGUUGAACAUCUGGUCAAGAAUCUUCUACGGAACCAGCGGCCAGAAUCGUGGUCGCUGCCUCAACUAGAGAAAGGCCAGAAGGUGGCGGCCAUCUUCGGCAGUGGGCACGUGGUGACCUUUGACGGCAUGUUCCUCGAGUUCCCCAGCUACCCAGCUUCGUACUGCACAUACCUUCUCGCGCACGAUGUUGGCGGUCGCCAGUUUACGCUGACAACCAGUGCCGAUGACCUGCUGAUCGACUUUCCGGAAGUUGCCCUCACAAUUUCGGGACAGGAAGGCAGAGUGCUUGUGAAUGGAAGCGAUGCACUCAUUCAUCUUCCUCUUGUGCUUGGAUCGGGGCAAGUGGAUGUGUACCGGGAGGGUCACCUAGUGAGAGUUCGAGGACAUGGCUUGACCGUUUAUUGUGACGCCACCAAGUUCUUCUGCACAUUCGUUUUGGACCAGUUUCACCAUGGCAACCUUCUUGGCACACUUGGCAAUGCAGAUGGCAAUGCUGGCAAUGAAUAUGAGCUUCCCAAUGGGCAAGUCGCCAAGGACGCCGCGCAGCUUGCCGCCGGCUACGAAAUGAGUGGCUAUGCGGAGUGCAGGGCACUGCUCAACCCCAUCAAGAAUAUGCAGGAGAACAUGGAGGAGUGCCGCCAGCGGGUGCCGCAGACCCUCAAGCACUGCCUGAUGAAAACCAACAUGGAGGAGCUGUUCCAGGAUGCCUGCUCUUGGGACGUCAGCCACCGUGCAAGCACUUGCACCAGCAUCAAUGCCAUGGCGGCCUUCUGCACUCACCACGGCUACUGGGUCGACAACCUGCACUGCGACCAUUGCCUGAACUUGCCAGAAGCACAAGGCCAGAAGACCUUCCGCGUCAAGUCUGGGCCUCUCCUGGAGGUGGUCGUGCUCUUGGCCGAGAGUUCGUUCGAUCCUCGGGUGGCCACCUUGGUGCUUGCCGGCACUCAGAAGCUGGUGGAUGCUGUGGACGCGUCGUUCAAGGCACAUGGUCACAACACCAAGUACGCCUUUGUGCUCAGUGGUGGUGGCCACGGUCACCACUACCAGAGCCCUCACCUGCGCACAACAGCCAAGGAUGUCUUUGUGUCGCACACUGAGGCUGCUGGCAAGCUCCUGAGGAGUGUGGGCCAGAGCAGCAAGAUGGCAGCCGCUGACCUUGCACUCACCCUUGACUAUGCCCUGGACACCGUGCCUUUCAGCACUGAAGCAGCGAGGGUGGUUCUGGCCAUUUCUGCUGGCGACUUCAAUAGCUCACGAAGCGAGCUGGACAUGCUUCACGACAAGGUGCUGUCCUCUGGUGUCACCCUGUAUGCCUUCUCCGACUACCCAACUGUGGACCAGCGAGGCCGUGUGUAUGGAUUGCGUGCUGACGGGCUCGUCUUUCCCGAGAGCUCGGCUGGCGAGGAGUACCUCGAUUACCCGUCUAGGGCUGGCCUGCUCGCUAAACUUGCUGCUGCCACCAGAGGAUCUGCUUUCCAGGUCCAGUUUGUAGAGGCUGGCUUGCCUGCCGAGUUCUUCACCGUGGUGGCCGAGGAAAUCUUUGCCAAGGUUGGCAAGGAAGCCAGGGGCUGCAGAGAGUGUGGAUGUGACCGGGGUCGUGCGUGGAGCCCCGUAGCUCGGUGCAGGCCAGUCGGCUGCUGAGCCACUCUUUGCUGCCUUCAGAUGUGCCAAGCAAGUUCAAGCAACAGCUGUAACUUGGGAUUUCCCUCUAGGUGCAACAGUGAGGAACUCUAUGGGCGUGCCAUGCUUCUCAUUUUGGAGGCCACACAAGACUUCUUGGCAGUGGCAAUAGAUGGCGCAGCGUGUGCAGAAAUAAGUGCAAUGGAGGAGCCGGUUGCCGCACGACACAUUUCUCGGCAUUUGGACGCACCGGCUAGCCAUGCAUUUCAGAGGGCACGCGCAGGCAGCAGCACCAGAUGGCGCCGAGUGUUCUUGUGGAAGCGCGAAAGGGGAAUCCCGCAGCAGUACACUUCUCAGACGUAACAUGUUUCAACCGUGGUAACACAUCAUGUCACUAUAUUGAUUCAAUGCUAAACAAAUUACUGUCAACAGUCAUAUUGAGAUGAUUGCUGCCACAUUUCUUUCGUCAUUUUGUCUCUCUACAUACUGUUUCUGCCUCCUCAGCUGUAUUGAAAAAGAGGAUGUACAGCUGGUCACAAAACUGCAUAAGCAACUUGUCUUGGAAGCCAGAGCAUGCAAGCUAUGAUGUGUAGGUGUUGCACUGUGUCGGUGCACGUGCACCAACAUAGUGCUUGCGUGCACGCAAGCACACACACGCAACCCCACAAGCAAAGUGAGGCUAGCGUCCAACCUUUUUGCCAACAAAAGCCAGCGACUGCAUCUUCAACUUAUAAGAGCUGGCUUGAUGAGUGCACCAGCCUUUACACUUUCUCUAAACUCCACAUCGAGGUACAUUUGAGCACAUUUGUUUCUGGUAGUUGAAGCAGCAAGGAACACACCUCUAAUGCACAUAGGGUAGAAACACAACUAGAAAACAUCAGGAGCAGAAAGUAAAAGCAAAUUAUAGUUUGUGAGAUCAGAGAAAAUCGUCUAGACGCCCACAUCGGAGUAGCCAUCCAGGCUGUUUGCCAGCCAGCACAGGAAAGAAAACUUAAAACUUUGUGACAAAACUUCUUUUAUUGGUCCUUCAAAUUUACAAGUGGCACCAAGAACAGGCACACGAGAAGCACCAUUUUCUGAAAAAUUAAUAAAUAAUCACCUGCGUGCCUCUGCUACUCUUUUACAGUGCCAGCUGUAACACCACCACCAACACCAUGCAUACAAAUGCAAUUUACGCCUUUCUACUGGUGUGUGCCUGCACUCAAUACCAAAAGCUAUUCUAACCAUGUGGAAAUCCAUGUCGGCUGUUCAAUUUCUGAAACUUGGUUGCAUUCAGAAACUCUUUAUUUUAGAUUAAUACUAUUCUGAGAGCCAUUAUAUUUAAUCCAAAGUUGGUAUGUAACCACAGAAAAAGUUUUGAGCAAUACAGUACUUUAUUAAAACUGAACAGCUUGUAACUGCACAAUGGCAGGCAGGUGGCUAACAAUACAGACUGCAGAAGGCAUGAAUAUGCAUGCAUUGCAACAGUGCACCAGCCAAGCCCAACCAAAAGUUUGCCAGCAAGAGUGAAAAGUCACACUGUCCACUUCAAAGGAACUUUUAAAGGAACAUCUUGUGACUGUGCCCUGGUACGCAGAAUAUUAGGCACAAGUUGUUCAGUGAGGCCAAACUUAAGUCUAACGCAAAGUCUAAAGUUGCAGAGUACUACAGCCGUUGGAUAACAAACAGCAAAAGUGCUAACGCAUUGCUACAGUACCUGCAUCAGACAGGGCUGCAUGCAAUUAUUUGAUGUCUCUCUUUAAUUUAUUUCCUACAUAUGUUUGCAGCAAAUCCCCUGAAUAAAAUAAUUCCAUGGAAUGCCAUGAAAACUGCAGCAGGUGCUACAGUGCUCUUCGUUGUAUAUGUAUCUAAUUAUGAUCAUCUUAGCUUGCACCUUCAUGUGCUCUUCAGUGACAGUUACACAAGUGUGAGAUCAUGUUUAAUUAAAACACGGCCGCACCCCCCCCCCCCCCUUCUGCCCCACAAAUAUGAAUAAACUCAGACCACAGCACAGGAAACCUUAAAACAUGAUGUGAAUCAUAGUCGCCUGGUAAAGAAAACCUUAUUGUGCAACCUGAUACUAUCACACGAUAUUUUUCAUAUGUUCUAUAUACUUCUUACACCACAACAUUUUAUUGAAUUAGGGUGAUCAGAUGAAUGAAAGCUAAUUAAGUAAUGGUCCUUAAAAACAAGGUUGUAUCCUGGCAAAUGCUGAACACUCCAAAACUCUCUAAUAAAGAAAGCCCACCAAAACACGGGAUGCAAGUGAUUCUGCUGAUGGUUUUCAAGGUUGGUUUUAUCACUUCCAAAAAACAUAAUGUACCAGUCCAGGCCAUCUCAAAAUUGUAUCUCGCAAUAUGACUCCCAAGAGCACCUUUCUUUUCUUUUUAGUAGCAAAGAGCGAUACACAACAGGAGAAUUCCGUAAGUGACCCAGCUAGAACAACAAACUCAAAUUUUCUCAUAGUAAGCAAAACUGGUAUCACUAUUCACAACUUGACCAUUUCAUGGGCAAAAAGAUUGUAUGGUGCUUAAACAUUUGUCACCACAAUAUUCGCUUUGCAAAGCAUUUAGUAGUCCCUCAAAAUUUAAUUAAAUUCUGCCCUCCCCGAGUUGUCUGAGAUUAACGGCACAUUUGGCCAAUUCCCACCAUGCUCCAACCUGGUUUUCUACAAUGAGGAGCCCUCUUGAGAUUAAAGCCAGAGGUAGCUUGCCCCAGCCAAACAUGCUAGCUGCUCAGAGUAGCCACAUGAUCCAAGCUUCUGCGGUAUUUCAGUUGCGCUCCCACGUUGAAAGUGGAACGAAGUGCGGCACUCUGUAUGAACCAGGUGAACGUAGCGCUUGAUAUCAACCAGCCGAAUGCAAACCACACUGUGAGCGCAUUCUAGGGCGCUCGACAGUGACCAGUUGAAAGCCCCAUAAUAUAGACGUCAAGUAAGCUCAAGAGUUUGUAUAACAAUGAGACUCAACAGAGAUGCUGAAAAGUGGUCGCAUAUCACAGGCACAGCUUCAACAGGGAGUACUAGCCCAUUCAGUUGGGCACCAUGAUCAGACGGCCAUUCAGUUCACUAACAACACUUCACGAAGAAGAAAUUGCAUUAAGUAUGAAGGUGAUCAUUCUAGGUCGUUCUACACUUUUUUCUCGCUGUCAGAAUGUCAUCUGAUAGUGACAGUCACAUGAUCUAGUACAUUAUAAGUCGGCAUGGACAGCUUAUUGUUGUAUUCACUGCCUUGGGGAUAUCACAAAAGACAGACAGCCUCACUACAUAGAGAUCAUGCUGCCGCAUAACCACACCGAGAUAUACAAACACCAAAUCACCCGCUAUAAAGAAAGUGAGGUACAAAGAAAACAUACACACACAAAAAAUGAAGACAUAUGGUAGAGGCUCAGUGCUUGUAGCGCCAUACUGCUUAGCAUGCACCUAGAGUUAUACUUCAAUGGGAGCGAAAUGCAAGACUUCUCGUGCACUUCGGUGCACGUUAAAGAAGCCCAGAGGCAACGCUUUGUAAGAAUGCCUUUCAUGUGAUUCUAUUCAUUUUGUUAUCAUACGAUGCACUGAAUGCAGCAGUAAUGUCCAGUGACGAGAGGCAAAAAAGAAUGAGAAAUAAAAAUAAUUGCUAUGAAAUACGGCCCUAGGGGUGUUGUCAACAUAAUUUGGAGCCAUGCAUUAUGACAUUUCUCAUUGUUAAAUCUACACAUUCAGUGCGUUAUACCUCAUCAACCACUUUUACAUAUGUAUACAGUUGAAUCUCGAUAUAAACUCAGAAGACCGUGGUAAAUUGUUAAUUAUUCUGAAAGAUCAUUAUAGUGAAAGCCCCAAAAUUAACCAUUCUGCUCGUCAACCCAUCAGUUCAUAAGUUGUCACCAUAUGUGUUAUUCACGAAAACAUCGCUGUUGGCUCUUGGCACAUGCUGUUGCUAUUUUCCAUAGAUUCCACCACCACAAAGCACCAUAUGAAAGAGUGACACGCGCAAUACAGACACUGACACCAAGAAAACUAUCGACAAAAAGGUAGCUCCAUGUUGCCUCCAAAGCGCAAUGUUUCUUGCUUUUUGUUUGUUUUUCGCAUUUCUUGCCGUGGACACCGUAACUGUCUCGCUUGAGGCAGACACCUGGGGCCAUAUUUUGAAACGAUCUACUUCAGUGAUGCUAUCACCAUUGGUCACGCCUUCGCAAUGUACGCACACUGAUUGGCUGUUCUAGCAAAAUCAGAUGACCUACGUCAUCCGAUGUUGCUCAAUCAGCCAAUCAGCAUGCACCUGACCGUGAAGGCAUGGCCGAGGCGAUAGUAUUGCUGAAGUGGAUUGUUUCAGAAUACAGUCCCUGAGCUAUGUCAAAGCACAAGCGCACGUGAACGACACCGUCUGGAAGGUGCAAAGUGCGACUCUGUGGCACCCCCGCGAAUCCGGAAGUUGCAUUUCACCACGCACAAAGUACGGCCGCAGAUAGAAGCGCGAAAAAAAGAGGUGUGCACAGAAAGAAGGGUGAAAGAAGGAAGAGACGCGCCUUCAUUGCUAGUCGACGCUCUUCUGCGCGAAGCAUGCCGCUUGCCCGCAUUCUUUCUUUCUCGGGCACUGUCUCAGAUUUUGAGAACCCAUGUGCCAUGACGUCUGCUCUCUGCACCUUGUCGUCUACUAGCCUACUGUUUCGUCUGCCGUGAAGGAUACACAGAAAUCUAAAUAUUCCCAGAUUUUGUAAUAUUAGUUCGUAGUACUGAGGCAUUGUUAACAUUACAGGGAAACUGAAUAACGAUCAUUAUUCUGAAAAGUUCGGUAUUAUGAAGUUUGUAGUACCUAUAUAUUUUUAUAUUGAACCUAUAAGAAAGUCAGCGGGGAACUUCUGAAAAGUUUGUUAAUCUGAAAAGUUUGUUAACGUAGUGUUUGUAGUAACGAAGUUUCAAUGUAUGUAUUUAAAGUGAGAAUGCAGUGUUGGGACACAAGAAUUAGGUGAUGAUGCUCAUCAAUAAAUAAUAUGCUCGAGAAAUGUUUUUAAAGAGUAAGAUCUGUCUAAUUAUUGUGACACACAAACAUUAGCGAAUACAGAAAGAGCAGUCACAUUAACGAAUACAGAAAGAGCAGUCUAAUUAGUGACAGAGAGAAAGGACUAUUUCUAUGACAUUUCACUCCAUCCAGAAAAAUGAGAAUGUGAUAAUGCAGUUACUGGAAUGCUUACACUGCUCUGACCACAAGCCAUGUAACAUUCUAAACAUGCAGAAAUACUCAGAUGUGCAACUGAGUUUCAUAAUGAUAAAAGCCCGAUGGACCCUUGUUUUGCGGCAAUAUUGAAAGUUGCAUACUCAGCCACUGCUUCAACCAUUGGAGAUCAAGUUUAAAAGGACAAAGAAUAAUGAAAAUAUCAAAGCUCAUUACAUCUGACAUGAAAAUACUAUCAUUAUAUACAAUAUGUAUUAUAAGCAUACACUUGUUAACACUAAUAUUGGCAAAAAAAAAGUUCUCAAUUUACUUUCUUAUAAUAAUUUGCUCGUUUAUAUAUUUUAGUAAUACAUAGGAAUUAUGGAGAGGAGUGGUUACAUCAUUUCAUUAACUCGUAACUUAUCCAUCCUUGUUAUAUAGAAGCUCAACUGUGCUAAGUCAAGCACGGCAGUUUAACAUACUAAGGCAUCCAAAGUAUAUCACUUUUACCACGCACAGCGCUUCUAUAAACA